RNAcentral lists this ribosomal RNA (372 nucleotides) under Triticum aestivum (bread wheat). RNAcentral describes it as "partial small subunit ribosomal RNA". Lineage: Eukaryota; Viridiplantae; Streptophyta; Magnoliopsida; Poales; Poaceae. The record is from RNAcentral.
AUGACGACCAUCACCGACACCCUCCAGAUGAUGUCGGAGGCGGCUCCCGGUGGACUGGAGCGCACAGAGUGGUCGGAGGUCGUCGCGCUCGGCGAUGUGGUGUCCAGGCAGGCCACCGUCGCUGGGAUGGUCUGGAGCGGAGACUUGCCUGGUGUGGAAACGCUCAAGGAGAACAUUGCUGCGUAUUUCAACGUCCUGCAGGGUUUCCUUUUGGCCUGCCAUGGAAGCACGGUCGGUGCCGGUCCUACGCUUCACAAGUAUAUCACUAGUUCUGCAAAAGGCGUGGUGGAUGCCAGCUUCUCGUUGUUCAAGCUUGCUGUUUCUACCUAUGCGAAGUGCGGCUGGACGACCGAGGCUGCUAUUCUGCCUUGA